UACGUAGGGUGCAAGCGUUAUCCGGAAUUAUUGGGCGUAAAGGGAGCGUAGGCGGUUGAAUAAGUAAGGUGUGAAAGCUAUGGGCUCAACCCAUAGUUGCGCCUUAAACUGUUCGGCUAGAGGAUGUAAGAGGAAAGCGGAACUCAUGGUGUAGCGGUGAAAUGCGUAGAUAUCAUGAGGAACACCAGUAGCGAAGGCGGCUUUCUGGGACAUUCCUGACGCUGAGGCUCGAAAGCGUGGGUAGCAAACAGGAUUAGAUACCCUGGUAGUCCACGCCGUAAACGGUGAUCAUUAGGUAUUGGGGGAUCGACCCCUUCAGUGCCGUAGCUAACGCGUUAAAUGAUCCGCCUGGGGAGUACGAGCGCAAGCUUAAA
RNAcentral lists this ribosomal RNA (374 nucleotides) under uncultured bacterium. Its description in RNAcentral is "bacterial SSU rRNA". It matches the Rfam family "Bacterial small subunit ribosomal RNA", at positions 524 to 898 of the family's 1533-position model. The record is from RNAcentral.